This 580-nucleotide long non-coding RNA is filed under the name Homo sapiens (human). RNAcentral's name for it is "non-protein coding lnc-MCCD1-1:1". The record is from RNAcentral. Lineage: Eukaryota; Metazoa; Chordata; Mammalia; Primates; Hominidae.
GGUGCAUACAAGUACAUCCAGAAGCUAUGGAAGAAGCAGUCUGAUGUCAUGAGCUUUCUUCUGAGGGUCCGCUGCUGGCAGUACCACCAGCUCUCUGCUCUCCACAGGGAUCCCCGCCCCACCCAGCCCAAUAAAGCACGCUACUGGGCUACAGCCAAGCAAGGUUAUGUUACAUAUAAGCGCCACGGUGGCUGAAAAUCUAGUUCCUAAGAAGGCAACUUAACAGCAAGCCUGUCUAUCAUGGUGUUAACCAGCUAGUUUGCUUAAAGCCUUCAGUCUGUUACAGAAGAGCAAGCUGGAUGCCACUGUGGGGCUCUGAGUCCUGAAUUCUCACUGGGCUGGUUAAAGAUUCCACAUACAAAGUUUUUGAGGCUAUCCUAGUUGAUCCAUUCCAUAACACUAUCAGAAGGAAACCUGACACCCAGUGGUCCACAACAAGCAUAGGGAGAUGCGUAGGCUAUCUGCAGGCCAAGAGAGCCACGGCCUUGGAAAGGGCUGUAAGUUCUACCACACUAUUGGUGGUUCUCGCCAUGCAGCUUGGAGAAGGUGCAAUACUCUCCAGCUCCACAGCUACCGCUAA